RNAcentral lists this microRNA precursor (140 nucleotides) under Oryza brachyantha (malo sina). RNAcentral describes it as "MIR812 microRNA precursor family". It matches the Rfam family "MIR812 microRNA precursor family", at positions 33 to 173 of the family's 205-position model. The record is from Rfam by way of RNAcentral. Lineage: Eukaryota; Viridiplantae; Streptophyta; Magnoliopsida; Poales; Poaceae.
UUUUACUCUUCGUUUUAUUUGAAAUCUUUUGCGAUUAAUAUUUUUAUUUUUACUAGAUGAUAAAAUAUAAAUAGUAUUUUAUACGUGACUAAUUUUUUAAAAUUUUUUUACAAAUUUUUUAAAUAAGACGAAUGGUCGAA